UUAUUUACAAACAGAUUUGUACCCGGUCUCUUACUGGAUGGGGAUGACUACUAGAUUAUUCUCUACAAAACCUACUCAUAAAAGCUUCGGGGGGGACAUCACUAUUAGAACUCCAGGUUCUAACAUCACCGGUCCAGAGCUACUGUGGAGGAGCAACAGAUACCACUUCGUAAUCAUGACUGCAUUAUUCAGCAACAUAAUGCAACUGUUGUACGUCCUCCAGUAGGGAUUUCAAGGAGCAAGUUAGUGUAGUAUACUGACCUCCCAUCAUCACCAUCAGGACAUACAGCACCGUAACAUUCAAGCAACAAAUACAAGCACAAGUGAGGGGAGGAUGCUCCUUGAGUCAUGCUGCUGUGUAUAAGACACUGCACAGGUAUUUCAUGGGUUUGAUAUUUCAGUGUAACAUUACAGAAGCAGUACAAACGAGCCCAUGAUAAUAUAAAAUACAAAAAGAUUGAGAACAUUCUUUCUAAGUCAUGUCCCUCUUUCGGGUAGCAAUUAUGCAUACACAGAAAGGACAGCUUUCCUGACUCUGAGAUGCAGAGCCUGCAACACAUAUGAGCAGUGUAUGAUACCAAUGACUUCUAGUCUCCAUCCAUAUUUCAGAUUGCUGAAGCAAUAUUUAAAGUAUUAUCAAGAUCAUUCACACUUGGAAUUAGAAAGCAUACAAGCUUAUCUCCAAAUUCCUUUACAGCUCUGUAAGACCUUUUCAGUCAUUUGCGCUUAAAACAUACAAACAUCUGCUGUUAGAAGACAGAAAAAAGUUAUGCAAAACUACAUAUUAAAGAAACUUAAUACAGUU
Long non-coding RNA from Aptenodytes forsteri (emperor penguin), 805 nucleotides. RefSeq lists it as uncharacterized. The record is from RefSeq and is a predicted model, not a curated record. The transcript is spliced from 2 exons. Lineage: Eukaryota; Metazoa; Chordata; Aves; Sphenisciformes; Spheniscidae.